Molecule: ribosomal RNA, 491 nt
Filed under: uncultured bacterium
Lineage: Bacteria
Description: partial 16S ribosomal RNA
Rfam family: Bacterial small subunit ribosomal RNA
Source: RNAcentral
AGUGAACGCUGGCGGUAGGCCUAACACAUGCAAGUCGAACGGCAGCACAGUAAGAGCUUGCUCUUACGGGUGGCGAGUGGCGGACGGGUGAGGAAUACAUCGGAAUCUACUUUUUCGUGGGGGAUAACGUAGGGAAACUUACGCUAAUACCGCAUACGACCUACGGGUGAAAGCAGGGGAUCUUCGGACCUUGCGCGAUUGAAUGAGCCGAUGUCGGAUUAGCUAGUUGGCGGGGUAAAGGCCCACCAAGGCGACGAUCCGUAGCUGGUCUGAGAGGAUAAUCAGCCACACUGGAACUGAGACACGGUCCAGACUCCUACGGGAGGCAGCAGUGGGGAAUAUUGGAAAAUGGGCGCAAGCCUGAGCCAGCCAUACCGCGUGGGUGAAGAAGGCCUUCGGGUUGUAAAGCCCUUUUGUUGGGAAAGAAAAGCAGCAGGUUAAUACCCCGCUGUUCUGACGGUACCCAAAGAAUAAGCACCGGCUAACUUCGU